UUUAUUUCAAUCACUACUUUA
This 21-nucleotide non-coding RNA is filed under the name Caenorhabditis elegans. The record is from RNAcentral. Lineage: Eukaryota; Metazoa; Nematoda; Chromadorea; Rhabditida; Rhabditidae.